AGUGAACGCUGGCGGCCGGCCUAACACAUGCAAGUCGAACGGCAGCACAGUAAGAGCUUGCUCUUACGGGUGGCGAGUCGCGGACGGGUGAGGAAUACAUCGGAAUCUACUUUUUCGUGGGUGAUAACGUUGGGACACUUACUCUCAUACCUCAUACGACUUACGGGUGAAUGCAGGGGUUCUUCGGACCUCCCGCGAUUGAAUUAGCCGAUGUCGGAUUAGCUAGUUGGCGGGGUAAAGGCCCACCAAGGCGACAAUCCGUUGCUGGUCUGUGAGGAUGAUCAGCCACACUGGGACUGAGACACGGUCCAGACUCCUACGGGAGGCAGCAGUGGGGAAUAUUGGACCAUGGGCGCAAGCCUGAUCGAGCCAUACCGCGUGGGUGAAGAAGGUCUUCGGGUUGUAGAGCCCUUUUGUUGGGAAAGAAAAGCAGCAGAUUAAUACCCCGCUGAUCUGAGGGUACCCAAAGAAUAAGCACAGGCUAACUUCGUGC
Molecule: ribosomal RNA, 493 nt
Filed under: uncultured bacterium
Lineage: Bacteria
Description: partial 16S ribosomal RNA
Rfam family: Bacterial small subunit ribosomal RNA
Source: RNAcentral